This 303-nucleotide ribosomal RNA is filed under the name uncultured bacterium. RNAcentral's name for it is "partial 16S ribosomal RNA". It matches the Rfam family "Bacterial small subunit ribosomal RNA", at positions 507 to 807 of the family's 1533-position model. The record is from RNAcentral.
AGCAGUCGCCACGGUAAUACGGAGGGUGCAAGCGUUAUCCGGAUUCACUGGGUUUAAAGGGUGCGUAGGCGGAUCUGUAAGUCAGUGGUGAAAUCUCCAGGCUUAACCUGGAAACUGCCGUUGAUACUAUAGGUCUUGAAUUUUGUGGAGGUUAGCGGAAUACGUCGUGUAGCGGUGAAAUGCAUAGAUAUGACAUAGAACACCAAUUGCGAAGGCAGCUGGCUACACAACUAUUGACGCCGAGGCACGAAAGCGUGGGGAUCAAACAGGAUUAGAUACCCCCGUAGUCCCUGUCUCUUAUAC